Molecule: ribosomal RNA, 496 nt
Filed under: uncultured bacterium
Lineage: Bacteria
Description: partial 16S ribosomal RNA
Rfam family: Bacterial small subunit ribosomal RNA
Source: RNAcentral
GAUGAACGCUGGCGGCGUGCCUAAUACAUGCAAGUCGAGCGAACAGACGAGGAGCUUGCUCCUCUGACGUUAGCGGCGGACGGGUGAGUAACACGUGGAUAACCUACCUAUAAGACUGGGAUAACUUCGGGAAAUCGGAGCUAAUACCGGAUAAUAUAUUGAACCGCAUGGUUCAAUAGUGAAAGACGGUUUUGCUGUCACUUAUAGAUGGAUCCGCGCCGCAUUAGCUAGUUGGUAAGGUAACGGCUUACCAAGGCGACGAUGCGUAGCCGACCUGAGAGGGUGAUCGGCCACACUGGAACUGAGACACGGUCCAGACUCCUACGGGAGGCAGCAGUAGGGAAUCUGCCGCAAUGGGCGAAAGCCUGACGGAGCAACGCCGCGUGAGUGAUGAAGGUCUUCGGAUCGUAAAACUCUGUUAUUAGGGAAGAACAAAUGUGUAAGUAACUAUGCACGUCUUGACGGUACCUAAGCAGAAAGCCACGGCUAACUACGU